ACUGGUGCUCAGCGCUGUGCUUCAACGUCUGGAAAUGGGCAUUCCUUUAUAGCAGCAGCAGCACCCCACUUGGCGUUCAAUGAUUUUGCAACUUGAUGAGAAACGACACAUCCAUCAGUUUAGUGGACAUUAUUAAAGGGUACCCAGACAACUGAAGUCGGUCAAUGCAUGCUGCAGGCACAAGUGGCCACGCGAUGUCGGCGACGGGAUUGAAGUUGGUCAAGGCGUUCCAACCGGGCCACAAGCAAUGCUUCAGUCCAAGUGAGAGCAGUCUUCGUCAAUGAUCGGAACUCUGCUACCAGUGGAUGACAACAAGACAGAAAAAGUUUUUGCUUUCGGAAACGAACACUGAAAAAUUCAGACCUCAUGGCAAGGGGCAACGAAGUCCAAAUCACAGUAUUUUAUUGA
Molecule: long non-coding RNA, 408 nt
Organism: Panicum hallii
Lineage: Eukaryota; Viridiplantae; Streptophyta; Magnoliopsida; Poales; Poaceae
Exons: 2
Source: RefSeq, a predicted model, not a curated record